This 465-nucleotide ribosomal RNA is filed under the name Vreelandella stevensii. RNAcentral's name for it is "partial 16S ribosomal RNA". It matches the Rfam family "Bacterial small subunit ribosomal RNA", at positions 338 to 795 of the family's 1533-position model. The record is from RNAcentral. Lineage: Bacteria; Pseudomonadati; Pseudomonadota; Gammaproteobacteria; Oceanospirillales; Halomonadaceae.
CCUACGGGAGGCUGCAGUGGGGAAUAUUGGACAAUGGGCGAAAGCCUGAUCCAGCCAUGCCGCGUGUGUGAAGAAGGCCCUCGGGUUGUAAAGCACUUUCAGUGGGGAAGAAAGCCUUGGGGCUAAUACCCUCGAGGAAGGACAUCACCCACAGAAGAAGCACCGGCUAACUCCGUGCCAGCAGCCGCGGUAAUACGGAGGGUGCGAGCGUUAAUCGGAAUUACUGGGCGUAAAGCGCGCGUAGGCGGUCUGAUAAGCCGGUUGUGAAAGCCCCGGGCUCAACCUGGGAACGGCAUCCGGAACUGUCAGGCUAGAGUGCAGGAGAGGAAGGUAGAAUUCCCGGUGUAGCGGUGAAAUGCGUAGAGAUCGGGAGGAAUACCAGUGGCGAAGGCGGCCUUCUGGACUGACACUGACGCUGAGGUGCGAAAGCGUGGGUAGCAAACAGGAUUAGAUACCCCGGUAGUC